Molecule: transfer RNA, 71 nt
Filed under: Loxodonta africana (African savanna elephant)
Lineage: Eukaryota; Metazoa; Chordata; Mammalia; Proboscidea; Elephantidae
Rfam family: tRNA
About the family: Transfer RNA (tRNA) molecules are approximately 80 nucleotides in length.
Source: Rfam by way of RNAcentral
GCAGUGGUGGUUCAGUGACAGAAUUCUCACCUUGCAUGUGGGAGACCCAGGUUCCAUUCCUAGCUACCGCA